AAAAUUACACGAUAAAAUAAGAUGCAGUAACCAAAAUCUUCAGCAUCCCAUAACAACAUUCCUCUUCUUCCAUUAACUUUGCCAUACACCACGUUCAACAUAUAAAUCCAUACACACACAAAAAAAAAAGUCAUCACCAUGACAACAACUUGGAGUAAAACCAUAACCAUAAAAAACAAUCAUGCAGCCACACAACAACGUCAUAAACUCU
Molecule: long non-coding RNA, 211 nt
Filed under: Lathyrus oleraceus (garden pea)
Lineage: Eukaryota; Viridiplantae; Streptophyta; Magnoliopsida; Fabales; Fabaceae
Description: Pisum sativum (pea) long non-coding RNA (PSAT_LNC013888)
Source: RNAcentral